GUGCUUGCUUUGGCAGCACACAUGCUAAAAUUGGAAUGAUACAGAGAUUAGCAUGGCCCCUGCCCUAGGAUGACACGCAAAUUCGUGAAGUGUUGCAUAUUUUU
RNAcentral lists this small nuclear RNA (104 nucleotides) under Ursus americanus (American black bear). Lineage: Eukaryota; Metazoa; Chordata; Mammalia; Carnivora; Ursidae. The record is from RNAcentral.